CCCCGCCAGAGGACCCCUAACUCUGUUUCUAUUAU
This 35-nucleotide ribosomal RNA is filed under the name Fusarium sp. F135. Its description in RNAcentral is "partial 18S ribosomal RNA". Lineage: Eukaryota; Fungi; Ascomycota; Sordariomycetes; Hypocreales; Nectriaceae. The record is from RNAcentral.